UGCCAGACUCCUACGGGAGGCAGCAGUGGGGGAUAUUGCACAAUGGGGGGAACCCUGAUGCAGCGACGCCGCGUGGGUGAAGAAGCGCCUCGGCGCGUAAAGCCCUGUCAGCAGGGAAGAAAAUGACGGUACCUGAAGAAGAAGCCCCGGCUAACUACGUGCCAGCAGCCGCGGUAAUACGGAGGGUGCGAGCGUUAAUCGGAGUUACUGGGCGUAAAGCGCUCGUAGGCGGUAUGUCAAGUCAAGGGUGAAAUCCCCGCGCUCAACGUGGGAACUGCCUUUGAAACUGGCAACCUGGAGUGUGUGAGAGGAUAGUGGAAUUCCAGGUGUAGGAGUGAAAUCCGUAGAUAUCUGGAGGAACAUCAGUGGCGAAGGCGUCUUACUGGACCGAAACUGACGUUGAGGCUCGAAAGCGUGGGGAGCAAACAGGAUUAGAUACCCCCGUAAA
RNAcentral lists this ribosomal RNA (448 nucleotides) under uncultured bacterium. RNAcentral's name for it is "partial 16S ribosomal RNA". It matches the Rfam family "Bacterial small subunit ribosomal RNA", at positions 329 to 794 of the family's 1533-position model. The record is from RNAcentral.